This 299-nucleotide ribosomal RNA is filed under the name uncultured microorganism. Its description in RNAcentral is "partial 16S ribosomal RNA". It matches the Rfam family "Bacterial small subunit ribosomal RNA", at positions 366 to 661 of the family's 1533-position model. The record is from RNAcentral.
CGGCAAUGGGCGAAAGCCUGACCGAGCGACGCCGCGUGCGGGAUGAAGGCCUUCGGGUUGUAAACCGCUGUCAGAGGGGAUGAAAUGCUGGGGGGCACUCCCCCAGUUUGACAAAUCCUCAGAGGAAGUACGGGCUAAGUUCGUGCCAGCAGCCGCGGUAACACGAACCGUACGAACGUUAUUCGGAAUUACUGGGCUUAAAGGGUGCGUAGGCGGUCCUCCAAGUUGGGUGUGAAAGCCCUCGGCUCAACCGAGGAACUGCGCCCAAAACUGUUGGGCUAGAGGGAGACAGAGGUGAG